Molecule: transfer RNA, 87 nt
Filed under: Desulfomicrobium apsheronum
Lineage: Bacteria; Pseudomonadati; Thermodesulfobacteriota; Desulfovibrionia; Desulfovibrionales; Desulfomicrobiaceae
Description: tRNA_Leu_TAA
Rfam family: tRNA
About the family: Transfer RNA (tRNA) molecules are approximately 80 nucleotides in length. Their secondary structure includes four short double-helical elements and three loops (D, anti-codon, and T loops).
Source: RNAcentral
GCCCGGGUGGUGGAAGUGGUAGACGCCAGGGAUUUAAAAUCCCUUGCCCUUCGGGGCGUGCCGGUUCAAGUCCGGCCCUGGGCACCA